UAGUUAACAGCUCAAUGGUAGAGCUGUCAGCUGUUAAUUGGCUGGUCGUAGGUUCAGAUCCUACUUGAGGAG
Molecule: non-coding RNA, 72 nt
Organism: Tetracentron sinense
Lineage: Eukaryota; Viridiplantae; Streptophyta; Magnoliopsida; Trochodendrales; Trochodendraceae
Source: the annotation of a GenBank genome assembly